CCAUACUCAACAAGAACAUUGGACCUUGCAUCCAAUUCAAACACAACGAAAGAAAACUUGGGUCAAACAUGGAAAGAAAACUCACCCUCGGCGCCGGAAAAUCUCCCUUGGUGACCAGGCGAGCUAACGUGAAUCAACGAGAAAUUAAAUCUCAUUUAUGCAUUGCGCUUUUGUCUGCUUUUCAAUUCGUGUCGAUGUUGUUGUUUCAUUGUGAAGGAUGCGUCGAUGUCGUUGUGUGCUCGAUUCCGAAUCAUGGUCAAAAUGGUGGAUGACGAAGAGUGAAGGAUCGUUGUUGAUUGAGAUGAAGAUUGAAGAUGAUCUUCGAUUCGUGCCUUUGGCAAGAAUGUGAACAGGUUCCAACGGAAUUUUUCCUUUCUUGAUCCUUCCCCUUUCUUCUUUUUUAGUUUUGUGAUGUUCAUGUUCUUCUCUGAGCAUUGUUGUUGAAGGAAUUUUUUAGGGAUGAUCAUAUUCUGUUAGAAAUUGGAGUGGAGUUCUUGGGUUGAAAAAGUUUGUUAUCCAUUGUUGAAGGGUGCAAAAGUUCUAUUAUGGAAGGUUCAAGAAGUGAUGUUGGAAAGGUCGUUAUGAGGGAGGUUCAGAAUUUCUGUUAGAAAUUAGGAUUGAGAAUUUUUUUAGGGAAGUUGAAAUUUGGUUCCAAUUUUGUUAUGGAGUUCGUUGAAGGGGUUGAAAUUUGUUAUCCGUUAGAAGAUUGAGGAAGUGAAGUUGAGGGAGUUGAAAUUCGGUUAGAGUUUUUUUGAGAAGUUCGUUGCAGAAGUUCUGUUAAGGAGUUUUUGAAGUCAGUUUGCAGGUUUUUAAUGAAGGUUUUUGAGGGAGUUCUUGAUGUGUUUUGGAGGCUACAACUUGAAGUUUUUAUUGAGGUUCAAAUGGAGGGGGUGGCGGUUCUGGAAGUUGGUUAGGGGGAGGGAAAUUUCAGUUUGCAUUGAAGAGGUUAUAGGGAGUUAGAGGAGGUGGUUGUAAUUCGGUUAUGGAGUUGUGUGGGGGAACUUUUUGAAGUCAGUUUGUCGGGUUGUUGUGAGGGAUGUUCAUUCUGUUAUGAGGAUUGGUUCAAGAGGUUGUGAAGUUUCUGUUUUUUCAAGGUUCCGGUGAAUUCAGUUGGCUUUGUUAAGGUUGUUGAAAGACCUUUGAAGGAGUUCUCUUCUUCUCAAAAUUUUGUUAUGUCAGUUGGAUGGUUUUUCAAGAGGGUCAUUGAAGCUUGAACAUGGUUUGGAUUCAAGCUUGGAAUUUUCCAUGAAGCUACUUAGAGAUUGUCUUAUGGUCAAGUGGGAUCGGGUUUUAGAUUUGGCUUGGAAUUGUAGUUUGUAGGUUUAAAAAUAUGAAAAUGAAUCAAGAUUAAAAAUGGACUUUCUAAUGAACAUGGUUUGGAAUGGACAUGUAUUGUAUUGAAAAGGAAAAUGGUUGGAAAAGAUGGUUGACUUUGGUCAAUUGGCUGACCGAAAAGUCAACAGUUGACCAACAUUCAACUUAGGUAUAAAUGUGUAUUUCCUUAUGGACAAUUGAAUGUGGACCACAAUACUUCUUAACCAAAUGACUUAUGCCAUGCUAUGAAUCAAAUCAGAUGAACAUCAAUCAAACAAAAAUUCAUGAA
Molecule: long non-coding RNA, 1603 nt
Organism: Lathyrus oleraceus (garden pea)
Lineage: Eukaryota; Viridiplantae; Streptophyta; Magnoliopsida; Fabales; Fabaceae
Exons: 3
Source: RefSeq, a predicted model, not a curated record